GACGAACGCUGGCGGCGUGCCUAAUACAUGCAAGUAGAACGCUGAAGGAGGAGCUUGCUUCUCUGGAUGAGUUGCGAACGGGUGAGUAACGCGUAGGUAACCUGCCUGGUAGCGGGGGAUAACUAUUGGAAACGAUAGCUAAUACCGCAUAAUAUUGACUAUUGCAUGAUAGUCAGUUGAAAGGUGCAACUGCACCACUACCAGAUGGACCUGCGUUGUAUUAGCUAGUUGGUGGGGUAACGGCUCACCAAGGCGACGAUACAUAGCCGACCUGAGAGGGUGAGCGGCCACACUGGGACUGAGACACGGCCCAGACUCCUACGGGAGGCAGCAGUAGGGAAUCUUCGGCAAUGGACGGAAGCCUGGCCGAGCAACGCCGCGUGAGUGAAGAAGGGUCUCGGAUCGUUAAGCACGGUUGUAAGAGAAGAACGAGUGUGAGAGUGGAAAGAUCACAGUGUGACGGUAUCUUACCAGAAAGGGACGGCUAACUACGUG
This 495-nucleotide ribosomal RNA is filed under the name uncultured bacterium. Its description in RNAcentral is "partial 16S ribosomal RNA". It matches the Rfam family "Bacterial small subunit ribosomal RNA", at positions 28 to 507 of the family's 1533-position model. The record is from RNAcentral.